This 1604-nucleotide unclassified non-coding RNA is filed under the name Leishmania donovani. Its description in RNAcentral is "gene:unknown". The record is from RNAcentral. Lineage: Eukaryota; Euglenozoa; Kinetoplastea; Trypanosomatida; Trypanosomatidae.
CUGCUUAGUUUGUGUCUCCUCGCCGCUGUUCUCCUCUUGCUGCCCGUGUUGUUGACGAUGCGGUUCAUUAUCGCUCUGGGAUCCGUUGUCUAGCUAAGUGCCACCUUUUAACCAGCAAUGAAGAAAGACCCUACGCAGGGCGGCCGUGCCUCCCUUUCUCCUCCUCUCUCGCGUCGCCCUCUGUGCGCGUGCGCGUCUCUGUGUCACGCUGUCUCUCUUCUCUUCUCUCUUCCUUUUUUUUUCCUUCCUCUAAAGGAUCCAGAGAAGGAAAACCAACCAAAAAGCAACACACACAAAGAGCAGCAGCGCACACGACGGCAGCUGCGGAGUCGUCAUACUGCCAGUUUCUAUUUCCCUGCCUAGCCAGCCAUUCACAAGCGGAAUGACGCUGGCUAUCAAGCAGCAUCCACCCCUCCCUCUCACCACCCUUCGAGUGACGACGGAGUCGAGCAAGAAGGAGUUUUUGCGCUGAAGCGUAGCCUUUUCUUGUCUUUGCCACGCGCGCGCCUCGCGCUCCCGAUCAUGUACGCCUUUUCAUGUGCGACGGUAACGCGGAACUUUUCUGCCUCGCAAGAGUUGUCCUCACUACUGUACUUAUGGAGUGUCGUUCCCGGGGUAUGAGCAAGCGGAGCGUGGGUGAGACCGGUGGCGAGUGGGUGGAAGAGGGGCUGACCGCAUCAUUGACCUCGAAGCGACGUCUGCAGCCCUGCUGUCGUCCCUCGCGCACGAAGACACACAAGAAGAGACACACGCGUGUGCUUCCGCGGCUGCUUCAUUUGCGUACGAAAUCGAAUCGCAUAUUCUCGUGCCUUGCUCAAGCUCUCCUCACUCGCUGCUCUUUUCCGUGUGCCCCAACACCUCCUGCUUUCCUUUCUCACGUGCAUUGGCACCGUUGCUGUUCGAGUCAUUCGUGCACCUGACACACACACACACACACACACACGCACAGGCAGACCGACAGACAGGUACGUGAUCGCUACUGCCUCUUCAACUUCCUCUGCGACGAGAUCUCCCUCGCGGGGCUUGUACUGGGCUGUGCUGCACGAGGAGAUGUGCUACCCAUUUUUUCCCCUUCUGCCUCACCGCCAAGCCUUGUGCUUUCCAGCGUCGUCUCGCCGCUGCCGCUCUCUCGUUGACUGAAGCUGUUUUGACUUGCUUACGCUUCCUUACAUGGAGGCGCGAGCACGCAUACGCAUAGACGCUUGUAUGAGUGCAUACGGCGGUGGUGGCUUGCCUUGCAGAGUGAAUACAGACGUCCGCCAACAGUCCUCUGCCCCUGCGACCUCCUCUGCUUCAACCCCUUUUUUUUUCGUUGAAUGAUUCUUCGGUCCACCCCCUUCUCCUCCCAGACGGCGAGAGCCGGCGCGAAGCACCGGUGUAUAUCGAGUGCAGGUGCUUACUUUCGUUGUGCUGAUACACCACGCAAUGCGCUUCGCCCUCCAUUAUCAUCGACACUCUUCUUUCUUCAUGUUGUCCACUCGUAUUCCUGCCUUGACCCUUCUUUCCAUCACUGCCAGUGUCUUCGAGCUAGCCCCACCACAUCCAAGCCCCGCUCCAAUCUCCGCCAGGUGAGGUAGGAAAGCCAGCAGGAUGGGUGGCUUAGC